UACGGGGGGAGCAAGCGUUGUUCGGAUUUACUGGGCGUAAAGGGCGCGUAGGCGGCCAGCGCAGGUCGACUGUGGAAUCUCCGGGCUUAACCCGGAAAGGUCAGCCGAUACUGCGGGGCUAGAGUGCAGAAGGGGCAACUGGAAUUCUCGGUGUAGCGGUGAAAUGCGCAGAUAUCAGGAGGAACACCGGUGGCGAAGGCGGGUCUCUGGGCCGUAACUGACGCUGAGGAGCGAAAGCGUGGGGAGCGAACAGG
This 254-nucleotide ribosomal RNA is filed under the name uncultured bacterium. RNAcentral describes it as "partial 16S ribosomal RNA". It matches the Rfam family "Bacterial small subunit ribosomal RNA", at positions 524 to 776 of the family's 1533-position model. The record is from RNAcentral.